AUUGAACGCUGGCGGAAUGCUUUACACAUGCAAGUCGAACGGCAGCACGGGGGCAACCCUGGUGUCGAGUGGCGAACGGGUGAGUAAUACAUCGGAACGUGCCCAGUCGUGGGGGAUAACGUAGCGAAAGUUACGCUAAUACCGCAUACGAUCUACGGAUGAAAGCGGGGGACCGUAAGGCCUCGCGCGAUGGGAGCGGCCGAUGUCAGAUUAGGUAGUUGGGGGGGGAAAGGCUCACCAAGCCGACGAUCUGUAGCUGGUCUGAGAGGACGACCAGCCACACUGGGACUGGGAACGGGCCCAGACUCCUACGGGAGGCAGCAGUGGGGAAUUUUGGACAAUGGGCGCAAGCCUGAUCCAGCCAUUCCGCGUGCAGGACGAAGGCCUUCGGGUUGUAAACUGCUUUUGUACGGAACGAAAAGGCUCUGGUUAAUACCUGGGGCUCAUGACGGUACCGUAAGAAUAAGCACCGGCUAACUACGUGCCAGCCGCCGCGGUAA
This 500-nucleotide ribosomal RNA is filed under the name uncultured bacterium. RNAcentral's name for it is "partial 16S ribosomal RNA". It matches the Rfam family "Bacterial small subunit ribosomal RNA", at positions 29 to 523 of the family's 1533-position model. The record is from RNAcentral.